RNAcentral lists this ribosomal RNA (439 nucleotides) under uncultured Micrococcales bacterium. RNAcentral describes it as "bacterial SSU rRNA". It matches the Rfam family "Bacterial small subunit ribosomal RNA", at positions 341 to 792 of the family's 1533-position model. The record is from RNAcentral. Lineage: Bacteria; Bacillati; Actinomycetota; Actinomycetes; Micrococcales.
ACGGGAGGCAGCAGUAGGGAAUCUUGCGCAAUGGGCGAAAGCCUGACGCAGCGACGCCGCGUGCGGGACGAAGGCCCUCGGGUUGUAAACCGCUUUCAGCAGGGACGAAGCGAGAGUGACGGUACCUGCAGAAGAAGGUCCGGCCAACUACGUGCCAGCAGCCGCGGUAAUACGUAGGGACCGAGCGUUGUCCGGAUUCAUUGGGCGUAAAGAGCUCGUAGGCGGCUGCUCAAGUCGAAUGUGAAAACUCGAGGCUCAACCUCGAGCCUGCAUUCGAUACUGGGCGGCUAGAGUCUGGUAGGGGGAUCUGGAAUUCCUGGUGUAGCGGUGGAAUGCGCAGAUAUCAGGAGGAACACCGGUGGCGAAGGCGGGAUCCUGGGCCAGUACUGACGCUGAGGAGCGAAAGCGUGGGGAGCAAACAGGAUUAGAUACCCUGGUA